AUCCUGUUGAUGAGUCUCAAACAGGACGAAACAGCUGUCCAGUGU
This 45-nucleotide non-coding RNA is filed under the name Echinostoma caproni. Lineage: Eukaryota; Metazoa; Platyhelminthes; Trematoda; Plagiorchiida; Echinostomatidae. The record is from RNAcentral.